AAAGGCAAUGGAAUUUGGUAACAGAACAGAGAUAAAGAAAGAGGGAGAGGUAGAGAUGUCUGAGAAAAUGUUCCCCAGGGCCCAGGUCCUGUCUAAAGAGAAUAGAUCAAAAUCAUCUAAAGCAGGGCUCAGGAAACAUUUUCUGUAAAGGGCCAGAUAGUAAAUAGUUUAGGCUUUGUGGGCCCUAUGGUGCCUGUCACAACAGCUGUAGAACUCUGCUGCUGCAGUGUAAAAGCAGCCACCGACAAUGCGUGAGUGGGUGUGCUGUGUUCCAAUAAAGCUUUCGUUUCAAAAACAGGCAGUGAUUACAAUCGUUAAUUUUAUGUUAUGUGAGUUUCACCUCAAUUAAAACAAAAGCAGGCCAUGGGUUUGAUUUGGCCCAUGGGGCUGUAGUUUGCAAACACCUGUUCUAGACAGUGGGGCAAGAGGGGUGAAGGGCAGGAUGGGGAGGAGCACUUGGGGACUUAGAGAAGACAAGGACUGUGCUGGCUUCCAUGGGUCCCAUGAACAGUGACCAGUGAAUGAUCUGAGUUCAAAUCUGACUCUGUCACUUCCUAGCUAUGGGACUUUCAGUAAAUUACUUAUUUACUUAUCCUGAGCCUCAGUUUUCCUCUUCUAUAAAAUGGGGAAAAAGAGUACCUACAUCAUUGCAUUGUUCUGAGAAUCAAAUGAGAUAAUGAAUGUAGGUGGCUAGCAUAAGGUCAAUAAAGAUUUUCUUACUUAAUUUUAAGGAUUGACUAUGAAUUGCAAGACCCUAGCUGUUCCUAGGGCUCCAAGCCCUGCCUGGGGUCCCUGAUCAUGGAUCAGCUCUUCUCUGGACUGUUGUCUAGGCAGGGCUUGGAGCCCUAGCAGGCAGAGAGGUGAGACUGGAAAGAAGGGAGGAGUUGGGCACUGGGGUGGGAGGUAAAGGAAGAGGCCCUACCAGUCAGUGGCAGAGAGAACAAAAUGUAUAUCCCCAGAUCUACGGAGAAAUAGACCCCACAGGUGCAAACACAAACUUCAUGCACACAUGCACACCAAGAUGAUGCAGCCCGUCUCCACCAUGCUUGGUAAAACAAGGUUCUGAAGUGCUUUGUCUCCAGCUCAUCAACGUGACCCACAGGGACAGGCCUCAUUGCAGUGUGGUUUAUUGGACCCCAGUGUGGACCAGUGUGUCUCACCGGCACUAGCAACUGAAGCUCUGGUCUGG
This 1189-nucleotide long non-coding RNA is filed under the name Homo sapiens (human). Its description in RNAcentral is "HSALNT0059821". Lineage: Eukaryota; Metazoa; Chordata; Mammalia; Primates; Hominidae. The record is from RNAcentral.